CCUACGGGUGGCUGCAGUGAGGAAUAUUGGUCAAUGGACGGAAGUCUGAACCAGCCAUGCCGCGUGCAGGAAGACGGCUCUAUGAGUUGUAAACUGCUUUUGUACAAGGGUAAACCUGAAUACGUGUAUUCAGCUGAAAGUACUGUACGAAUAAGGAUCGGCUAACUCCGUGCCAGCAGCCGCGGUAAUACGUAGGUGGCAAGCGUUAUCCGGAAUGAUUGGGCGUAAAGGGUGCGUAGGCGGCAAACUAAGUCUGAAGUAAAAGGCGUUGGCUCAACCAACGUAAGCUUUGGAAACUGUUAAGCUAGCGUGCAGGAGAGGUUAGUGGAAUGCCAUGUGUAGCGGUAAAAUGCGUAGAUAUAUGGAGGAACACCAGUGGCGAAGGCGGCUAACUGGCCUGUAACGGACGCUGAGGCACGAAAGCGUGGGGAGCAAAUAGGAUUAGAUACCCUGGUAGUC
Molecule: ribosomal RNA, 459 nt
Filed under: uncultured bacterium
Lineage: Bacteria
Description: partial 16S ribosomal RNA
Rfam family: Bacterial small subunit ribosomal RNA
Source: RNAcentral